CACCACCUUGACAUGGUGGGGGUCGUUGGUUCGAGUCCAAUCGAACGCACCA
Molecule: transfer RNA, 52 nt
Filed under: Klebsiella pneumoniae
Lineage: Bacteria; Pseudomonadati; Pseudomonadota; Gammaproteobacteria; Enterobacterales; Enterobacteriaceae
Description: partial tRNA-Ser
Rfam family: tRNA
About the family: Transfer RNA (tRNA) molecules are approximately 80 nucleotides in length. Their secondary structure includes four short double-helical elements and three loops (D, anti-codon, and T loops).
Source: RNAcentral